Zingiber officinale is the source of this 208-nucleotide long non-coding RNA. RefSeq lists it as uncharacterized. The transcript has 3 exons. Lineage: Eukaryota; Viridiplantae; Streptophyta; Magnoliopsida; Zingiberales; Zingiberaceae. The record is from RefSeq and is a predicted model, not a curated record.
GGCAGAUAAGCUGAGUCAAGCAUCAAGAAAUCAACUAAUUUUAGUGCCACAUAAUGUUGGUUAUCAUUGGAUUCUCACUGUCAUUGAUCCAUAUAAGGAGACAGUUUAUUUGUUAGAUUCGCUUAGUCAUCGCAUUCGUGACGAGGACUGGAAAUACGUAGUGGAUAUGAGCAUAAGAUUGUUUAAUUCAAACAAGGAAAAAAAAGGG